CAAUCUCCACUUUUCACUCUCCACUCUCUCAGCGCCUCUGGUUUUGCUUGCUAGCGAGAAUAAGUGGCUGAAGAAAAUGAGGAACAACAUGACAGAGAUCAAUCAGUGGUGGGAUACUGGGAUGAAAUUAUAAUGCCUGCAGACGAAGAGCCACUGCAUGAAAAUCAUGAAGAAGAUGGUAAAAUCACUGAACUAGAGAGCACUAAUGCAAUCAAGGAUGUAUUCAAAAUUUUGAUACGUGGACUGUCGGUUUGAUGGAAAGUGAUGCAGUGACAGGUUGUGAAGAAUCUGUGACGACAAGAGAACUGGGGAAUGCUUGAUGAUACAUUGCAAAUGUCUUUGUGACAAAGGCUAUCAGAUUCUUCUCCCUAUAAGAAACUGUUACUGCAAACUUAUGUAGAUCAUGACAGAUUAUUGGUCCAAAAUCCUGAUAUCAAGUACUAAUAUACUUUUUUAUUUGUACUGCUUGUUCAUUC
Long non-coding RNA from Populus trichocarpa (black cottonwood), 476 nucleotides. RefSeq lists it as uncharacterized. The transcript is spliced from 3 exons. The record is from RefSeq and is a predicted model, not a curated record. Lineage: Eukaryota; Viridiplantae; Streptophyta; Magnoliopsida; Malpighiales; Salicaceae.